UACGUAGGGUGCGAGCGUUGUCCGGAAUUAUUGGGCGUAAAGAGCUUGUAGGCGGUUUGUCGCGUCUGCUGUGAAAAUCCGGGGCUCAACCCCGGACUUGCAGUGGGUACGGGCAGACUAGAGUGUGGUAGGGGAGACUGGAAUUCCUGGUGUAGCGGUGAAAUGCGUAGAUAUCACUUGGAACGCCAAUGGUGAAGACAGCUCGCUGGGGGUGUCCUGACGCUGAGGCGGCGAAAGCCAGGGGAGCGAACGGG
RNAcentral lists this ribosomal RNA (254 nucleotides) under uncultured bacterium. RNAcentral's name for it is "partial 16S ribosomal RNA". It matches the Rfam family "Bacterial small subunit ribosomal RNA", at positions 524 to 776 of the family's 1533-position model. The record is from RNAcentral.